UGGGGAAUUUUGGACAAUGGGCGAAAGCCUGAUCCAGCAAUGCCGCGUGUGUGAAGAAGGCCUUCGGGUUGUAAAGCACUUUUGUCCGGAAAGAAAUCCUUGGCUCUAAUACAGUCGGGGGAUGACGGUACCGGAAGAAUAAGCACCGGCUAACUACGUGCCAGCAGCCGCGGUAAUACGUAGGGUGCAAGCGUUAAUCGGAAUUACUGGGCGUAAAGCGUGCGCAGGCGGUUUGCUAAGACCGAUGUGAAAUCCCCGGGCUCAACCUGGGAACUGCAUUGGUGACUGGCAGGCUAGAGUAUGGCAGAGGGGGGCAGAAUUCCACGUGUAGCAGUGAAAUGCGUAGAGAUGUGGAGGAAUACCGAUGGCGAAGGCAGCCCCCUGGGCCAAUACUGACGCUCAUGCACGAAAGCGUGGGGAGCAAACAGGAUUAGAUACCCUGGUAGUCCACGCCCUAAACGAUGUCAACUAGUUGUUGGGGAUUCAUUUCCUUAGUAACGUAGCUAACGCGUGAAGUUGACCGCCUGGGGAGUACGGUCGCAAGAUUAAAACUUAAUGAAUUGACGGGGUCAUAGCUGUUUCCU
RNAcentral lists this ribosomal RNA (584 nucleotides) under uncultured bacterium. RNAcentral's name for it is "partial 16S ribosomal RNA". It matches the Rfam family "Bacterial small subunit ribosomal RNA", at positions 355 to 1375 of the family's 1533-position model. The record is from RNAcentral.